CGAAAGAUAUUCUAACAAAUAAACUACUUGAACCACGAAAGCUAAGAAACAAACUAGGAUUAGAUACCCUACUAUGCUUAGCCUUAAACUUUGGAACAACCCGCCUGAGUACUACGAGCCACAGCUUAAAACUCAAAGGACUUGGCGGUGCUCUACACCCCCUAGAGGAGCCUGUUCUAUAAUUGAUACUCCCGUUAAACCUCACCACUUAUUGCCAAUACCGCUUAUAUACCGCCGUCGUCAGCUCACCAUUUAAAUGAAAAAUGUAGGCAUAAUGAUAAACAUAAAAACGUCAGGUCAAGGUGAGCGAAUUAAGUGGAAAGAAAUGGGCUACAUUUUCUAAAUCUAGAAAAUACGAAAAUUUUAGUGAAAACUAUUUAAAGGUGG
Molecule: ribosomal RNA, 387 nt
Filed under: Hynobius leechii (Gensan salamander)
Lineage: Eukaryota; Metazoa; Chordata; Amphibia; Caudata; Hynobiidae
Description: partial 12S ribosomal RNA
Rfam family: Bacterial small subunit ribosomal RNA
Source: RNAcentral